RNAcentral lists this ribosomal RNA (466 nucleotides) under uncultured bacterium. Its description in RNAcentral is "partial 16S ribosomal RNA". It matches the Rfam family "Bacterial small subunit ribosomal RNA", at positions 28 to 507 of the family's 1533-position model. The record is from RNAcentral.
GAUGAACGCUGGCGGCGUGCUUAACACAUGCAAGUCGAACGGAAAGGCCCAAGCUUGCUUGGGUACUCGAGUGGCGAACGGGUGAGUAACACGUGGGUGAUCUGCCCUGCACUUCGGGAUAAGCCUGGGAAACUGGGUCUCAUACCGGAUAGGACCACAUUUUGGAUGGUGUGGUGGAGAGUUUUUCGGUGUUGGGUUAGCUCGCGGCGUAUCAGCUUCUUCGUGGGGUAAUGGCCUACCAAGGGGUCUACGGGUAGCCGGCCGGAGAGGGUGUACGGCCACAUUGGGACAGAGAUAAGGCACAGACUGCGACGGGAGGCAGCAGGGGGGAAUAGUGAAAAAUGGGCGCAAGCCGGAUGAAGAGACGCCGCGUGGGGGAGGACGGCCUUCGGGUUGUAAAAUCCUUUCGAAAGGGACGAAGCGUUAUGUGACGGUACCUGGAGAAGAAGCACCGGCUAACUACGUG